UUUCCGAGAGUCAGGCGGCUCUAAAGAAUAAACAAGCCACUGUGGACUUUGGACCAUGAUCCCUGAUAGCUGCAGUCUGAGUGACACAAUAAAGGAUUUAUUCGGGUUAGUGUGAUUAUAAAGGACCAGCUGAGUUGUUGACAUGGAAGUGCCUUGCUACCUGCCCAAACUCCUGUUUGAGCUCAAUGAGCAACGUAAGCGGGAUUUCUUCUGUGACUGCAGCAUCCUGGUGGAAGGCCGUGUCUUCAAGGCCCACCGCAAUGUGCUGUUUGCUGGGAGUGGAUAUUUUCGAGCUCUUCUGGUUCACUAUCUGCAAGACAGUGGACAGCGCUACAGCACAGCGUCGUUGGACAUCGUAACAGCUGACGCCUUCUCUAUUAUCCUGGACUUUCUCUACUCUGGCCGCUUGGCACUGAACAGGAACAACGUCAUUGAGGUGAUGUCAGCAGCCAGCUACCUGCAGAUGACUGAUCUGGUGAAUUUCUGUAAAGGGUACAUCCGCUCAUCUUUAGAAAUCUGCAGCAAGGAGAAGGAGAGGAGCACGGAGAAAGAGAGCCAGGCAGACGAUGGAGGAUUGGGUCUUGCAGACAGCGGCACUCCUGCUGCGACAGUCUCCAGCGGUGCAGGGGUUGCUGAGCCUCAUUCACAGCAGGUUACAGAGGCAGACAGAGGCUCGGGUUUAGGUUCAGAGGCCGCUACGUCUGCUAGAACCCCGUUGUCCAUCUCUGUCACGACCCCUCCAGGCUCCAGCAGGGACAUGGACAGCGCCUACUCUUCCAGGGAGGAAUUUGCAUCCGGGAGUGAAGGACAGAAGGGACAUAUGGAUCAGACUAAUCUAUCAUCCUCCUCGUCCUCUGCUUUGACUCCAGAGUUGGUGAACCCUAAGAUAGAAUACGACCCUGAUGAGGAGCUUAUGGAGUCCCCUGACACCAAAGACCUUGCUUCAUAUGCUGGGCCUCCGCUGCAUAACACCCAUCAUAGCAGGCUACUUCCCCCAAGUCCCUCUCCCUCCAAUGAACGCUCCCCCUUGGGAUACAGCUCUUCGUUUAAUACUCGACAGCUGAUGGAGAUGGUGGCCAGAGGUGAAGGCCCCACUCCUCUGGGGGAUAGAGUAGGGCAGCGCUUUGCCCAAGGACUAGGUAGCAACACAGGAGGAAGCAGGAUGGAUGAAAGUUUAGGGUUUGUGGGCUCAUCUAUUAUGGAGAUCCAGUCUGAUUGGCUUGGAGAGGACACAGGCGAUGGCUUGGUAGUGCCAGUGAAGCUCCACAAGUGCCCUUUCUGCCCGUACACUGCCAAACAGAAGGGGAUCAUGAAGAGACACAUACGUUGCCACACAGGAGAAAGGCCCUUCCCCUGUCCGAUGUGUGGCAAGAGGUUCACAAGACAGGAGCAUCUCCGCAGCCACGCACUUAGUGUCCACAGACAUUACUGGCCAGUAUCAUGCAAGAGCUGCAGACGAACCUUCACUGGAUCGAGUGUUUCACCAGGACUCAGACGCUUUGGCAUCUGCGACAGCUGCAACUGUGUGACCACCACUCACGAUGAUUCAGCCCCCGUCCACCCCUCCAGCCAAGCGGAACCCAUGGAACGUUCGGAUGGGGGUACAGAUUGGUCCAGUUUUAUGGACGAUGUGGACGAGGUGGAGGUUGGCCGAGUGGAAGACUUGGUGGAGAAACAGAUGCUUGAAAGACAGCUGGGUGUCUGCACUGAUGUAGGUCACACACUGUGAAUACGACAUCCUCGAUACUCAGAAGAAACCUUUCGCUGAACUGUGGCUACACUGUUAUUGUUAAAUUAUUACUGUAAAAUGACUCAUUUAUUGAUCCAUUUGCAUCCAGAAUAUCCUCUUUCUCACUAUUGCAGAUAUUGUGCUCCAGUGAUUUGCCUAGCAGUUCAGUACAUGCAACCACAGUCAAGUGUUCACUUGAAAAUUGACCAGAACACGAUCAUGGACACCCUCCACAAGGAAGACAGGCCACAGAAGGUCACUGCGGAUAAGGCUGUUGGCAGAGUGCUGCAUUGAGACAUAUUAAUGGGAUGCUGACUGGAAGGAAAAAGUGUGCACAAGCAACAAGGAUGACCGCAGCCUUUAGAAGGUUGUCAAAAAGAGCUGAUUUAAGAAGUUUAGUGAGCUUGACAAAGAGUGGACUGAGGCUGGGGUCAAUGCAUCAAGAGCCACCAAAAUGGACUAGAAAAUAGAAAUGCUUUAUUGAGCCACAAGAGGAAAAUCUGAAAUGAUGGCUGCAGGAAAGGAAAUGUGACCGUACCAUUCCUAAUAUCAGGCCACUCCUGAAUCAGAGACGUCAGAAGUUUAUACCAGGAUUAAGUGGAAGAAGAAAGUAAGUGUAAUGAACGACUGUCUUAUGAUCUUCAGUAUUUUUGCUACCUGUAUUUUCAUGUGGAGCUGUUGUUAUUAGUUUUCUUUUUUAUUGUCUGUGGUAUUUUAUAUUUAGUACUUUGUAUUUUGAUUCGGAUUGAUGUUACAUUAAUUACAGUUCCACAUGUUACAGCUUCACAUGAUUUGGAAAAACGUGGUUCAACUUAACACAUUUCAAAGUUGGGAUGGUGUUUAUAUCAGUUGUUCAAGGUGACCUGUUCACCAUCUUGUUUUGUAUAUUUAAAUAAGUGAAUAAUAAAAUACAGCACAGCACUGAA
This is an RNA transcript of Acanthochromis polyacanthus (spiny chromis), 2655 nucleotides long. It is a transcript of the gene named zinc finger and BTB domain containing 8B, with no coding region annotated. The transcript has 6 exons. NCBI's taxonomy places the organism in Eukaryota, Metazoa, Chordata, Actinopteri, Pomacentridae. The record is from RefSeq and is a predicted model, not a curated record.